Molecule: ribosomal RNA, 465 nt
Filed under: Vreelandella stevensii
Lineage: Bacteria; Pseudomonadati; Pseudomonadota; Gammaproteobacteria; Oceanospirillales; Halomonadaceae
Description: partial 16S ribosomal RNA
Rfam family: Bacterial small subunit ribosomal RNA
Source: RNAcentral
CCUACGGGUGGCAGCAGUGGGGAAUAUCGGACAAUGGGGGGAACCCUGAUCCAGCCAUGCCGCGUGUGUGAAGAAGGCCCUCGGGUUGUAAAGCACUUUCAGUGAGGAAGAACGCCUGGUGGUUAAUACCCAUCAGGAAAGACAUCACUCACAGAAGAAGCACCGGCUAACUCCGUGCCAGCAGCCGCGGUAAUACGGAGGGUGCGAGCGUUAAUCGGAAUUACUGGGCGUAAAGCGCGCGUAGGUGGCUUGAUAAGCCGGUUGUGAAAGCCCCGGGCUCAACCUGGGAACGGCAUCCGGAACUGUCAAGCUAGAGUGCAGGAGAGGAAGGUAGAAUUCCCGGUGUAGCGGUGAAAUGCGUAGAGAUCGGGAGGAAUACCAGUGGCGAAGGCGGCCUUCUGGACUGACACUGACACUGAGGUGCGAAAGCGUGGGUAGCAAACAGGAUUAGAUACCCCUGUAGUC